GUGGUCGCCUGGCUGAGACGAUCAAAACCAUGUGAUCUUCAGUCAAAACUAGAACUCUGGUAGUGGCAGCGGUAGACGAUGGAACCGCCGACAAUGGUAGAUAAUGUCGCCGCCGGCAACAAGGGUGUAGUGGCCGAGGUAUAUCUAUCUUAAGCGUGAGACUAGACAUUAAUGGGUGGUCCGAUAGCGGCCUGAUAGUAGGUGGAACAAUAUGCCCAACAAACAACAAAUAUAUGAUAGGCUCUAACCUGCCUCUAAUACCAUGUUAAGAAGUGGACUUUAAGCUUAACUCAACCC
This 297-nucleotide long non-coding RNA is filed under the name Vigna radiata. RNAcentral's name for it is "long non-coding RNA (VRAD_LNC005575)". Lineage: Eukaryota; Viridiplantae; Streptophyta; Magnoliopsida; Fabales; Fabaceae. The record is from RNAcentral.